AUGAUCUUGCACUUGUAUACUGUAGCACUAGCACCAGGCAACUUGGGGUUCAGUGUCUUGCCCAAUGAAACUUCGGCACGUGACUCGGUGAAACCAGGAAUCAAACCACCAAUGAUUGGUGGACGACAGUUCUGGACCACUGCUGCCCCGUUUUCACCCAUCCCCCGAUGGGAGCAGUGGGCUACCACAGUGCAGCGCUCUAGUGUGAUGGGUCUAACUCAAGGACAUACCUGAUGCACUGGGUGGGCUUUGAACCAGUGAACUUCUGCUCCCUAAGCCAACACUCUACCAACUGAGCCACAAAGCCAGUGCCAGAUAGUGAGGACAGCCACAGCUUCCAUCUGGUAGAGGACUGCUUCCGUUCAGAGUCUUCCAAAUAGUGAUGAGAACAAGGAUCAUUACAUCUGUCUACAACUAUGCCUGUCCUGCUGCAAAAACAAAUCUCCAACAUAACCAAGUGUACCCCCUACCCAGGACAUGGUCUGUUUACCCUACUUCCAUCAAGCAUUUCAUCUGCAAGGCCCUGCAAAAGCUUCUGUCCUCAAACCCCCAGACUUCUUAAUUAACUUAGUAACCUAUAAAUUGCACAUUGGAGUGUGAAGAUACAGUAACAGGUUGUUCCAGCUUCGGAGUAGUGGUGCAUUUUGUGAUUGACGAUAAAGUUGGCUAUGACUAAUAGUUGACUAUUAGCAAACUAGCCAUAAGAAAAAAACGUGUAAAUAUAAAUUAAAAAUUCAAUUAUUCAAAAAGAUUCUUUAUGAGUAUUGCAAAAAACACAUUUUUACUCAAAUGGUAAAUGAGUUAUUCCACGGGUGGUCUAAAUCCAACAUACAGUGAGUGUUUUAUCCAUCAGGAAACUACAACCCACGCAUGAAGAUAAUGCAACUCAGAUUCUUCCCCCCAGGAAUCCCCAGCACCAGCUCACUAGCAUCUGUAGACUGGAUACCUGUAACAACCUCAGAUACAGAGACAUAUUACUGUCAGGUUUAGCAAGAAUGAUCAAAAAAUGCGGGGUCACGGGGGUGCUGGAACCUAACCCAGCCAGCUAUGGGCGAGAGGCAGGGUACACCCUGGACGGGUCGCGAGUCCAUCGCAGGGCAAAUUUGAACCAAUGCUUUGUUUGUUUCCAGGUAGGUCAUGCAGUGAUUGCUCUGAAUAUUAAUGCACUUUCAUUCUUUAAGAGCAGCAGCACGAGCAAGACAAAAACAAUGUAAAAUGUAUUUAUAUCAUUUCAGCUGUUUUCUCAAACAUUUAUUUAUUUGUAUAAUGUAAGCUAAAGCAGUGUUUUCCAGGUUAGUCGUGUUAUGAAUAUUAAAGCUACAUAGGCCAUUUAGCAUAAGUGUUAGCAUUUGCAACCGCUAGUCGUUUUGCAAAUUACAUAAUCAAAUAAAUUGAAGUAAAUGCGACA
This 1408-nucleotide long non-coding RNA is filed under the name Betta splendens (Siamese fighting fish). RNAcentral's name for it is "lncRNA (ENSBSLG00000005874.1)". Lineage: Eukaryota; Metazoa; Chordata; Actinopteri; Anabantiformes; Osphronemidae. The record is from RNAcentral.